RNAcentral lists this ribosomal RNA (438 nucleotides) under Triticum aestivum (bread wheat). RNAcentral describes it as "partial small subunit ribosomal RNA". Lineage: Eukaryota; Viridiplantae; Streptophyta; Magnoliopsida; Poales; Poaceae. The record is from RNAcentral.
GCGCUCCUGGGCUCCAACGCGGUGGUGGCUUGGCUCGACCGCGACAUCAGGGCAUCCAUGCAAGACAUCCCUGCUGCCAUCGUCGCGGAGAUGGGCAUGCUGCCGGACGACGUGUGCGUCGUCAAGCACUUCCCGGAGGCCUUCCUGGUGCGCUUCUUCCACCAGCACCAUUGCGCCGACGCGGCUGGGCGUCGGGACCUGAAGUUUCGCGACACUAGGCUGCAGAUGCGCCCCUGGCGCCUCGAUGCGCACUCGGUGAACGUGGACCUCAUCCACCACGUCGGGCUCUGCCUGGAUGGGCUCCCGCUGCAGGCGUGGGAUGACUACGCCGUCGCGCAGGCUAUCGGGCCGGGGUGCUCCAUCGACUACAUCGAGACCGCGUCUAAGCUCAAGACGGAUGCUGAGGUCCUGGGAGUCUGGGCAUGGACGGCAUCGCCG